AUUAAAGAUAAUACUUUUUUUGGUGUAGCCUUUUUUGAAAAAUCCUAAAUUGCCCUUGCAAGUUUAACAACUAUCUCACGUACUAUUCAAAAACAAGACUGCUACCUUUCUCAUAAGAUACAACCGCUGCCAUACAAAUAUGACUACUAAAUAAAAUACACCACAACACCGAAACCCGAAUAAAAAAUGCAACGGAAGAAUGUGGAGAAGAUAAAGUUCCUCACAUGCUGUAAUUUUUCUAAAAGUGUCCAUUUGUAACAAUAGUAAAGAGGAACAAAUCAAAAGCCGGAGGCAAGCACGAUAGGCUAGCGGGAACCAAAUAUUGUGGUGACGGUGCUAUGGAUACUUUCUACAGUUUAUUUCUUCCUUUUUUCUUCUUUUGUGUUAUUUGUUGUCCUAAUUAGGUAUAAAAAUGUUUUAAAUAAUCAAAUAUACUUUCUUCUUCUUUA
Molecule: long non-coding RNA, 449 nt
Organism: Medicago truncatula (barrel medic)
Lineage: Eukaryota; Viridiplantae; Streptophyta; Magnoliopsida; Fabales; Fabaceae
Exons: 2
Source: RefSeq, a predicted model, not a curated record